UACGUAGGGUGCGAGCGUUAAUCGGAAUUACUGGGCGUAAAGUGUGCGCAGGCGGCCGAGCAAGUCGAGUGUGAAAGCCCCGAGCUUAACUUGGGAACUGCGCUCGAAACUACUUGGCUAGAGUGUGGCAGAGGGAGGUAGAAUUCCACGUGUAGCGGUGAAAUGCGUAGAUAUGUGGAGGAAUACCGAUGGCGAAGGCAGCCUCCUGGGCCAACACUGACGCUCAUGCACGAAAGCGUGGGGAGCAAACAGG
RNAcentral lists this ribosomal RNA (253 nucleotides) under uncultured bacterium. RNAcentral's name for it is "partial 16S ribosomal RNA". It matches the Rfam family "Bacterial small subunit ribosomal RNA", at positions 524 to 776 of the family's 1533-position model. The record is from RNAcentral.